CAGUCGCCGCGGUAAUACGAAGGGUGCGAGCGUUAAUCGGAAUUACUGGGCGUAAAGCGUGCGCAGGCGGUUGUGUAAGACAGGUGUGAAAUCCCCGGGCUUAACCUGGGAACUGCGCUUGUGACUGCACAGCUAGAGUAUGGCAGAGGGGGGUGGAAUUCCACGUGUAGCAGUGAAAUGCGUAGAGAUGUGGAGAAACACCGAUGGCGAAGGCAGCCCCCUGGGCCAAUACUGACGCUCAUGCACGAAAGCGUGGGGAGCAAACAGGAUUAGAUACCCCUGUAGUCCCUGUCUCUUAUAC
This 301-nucleotide ribosomal RNA is filed under the name uncultured bacterium. RNAcentral's name for it is "partial 16S ribosomal RNA". It matches the Rfam family "Bacterial small subunit ribosomal RNA", at positions 509 to 807 of the family's 1533-position model. The record is from RNAcentral.